Molecule: ribosomal RNA, 329 nt
Filed under: uncultured bacterium
Lineage: Bacteria
Description: bacterial SSU rRNA
Rfam family: Bacterial small subunit ribosomal RNA
Source: RNAcentral
AACGAACGCUGGCGGCAUGGAUUAGGCAUGCAAGUCGAACGUGAAGUUCUCCCGUUCGGGGAGGACGGAAAGUGGCGAACGGGUGAGUAACGCGUGAGUAACUUGCCUUAAGGUUGGGAAUAGCCCCGUGAAAAUGGGAUUAAUACCGAAUGUGGCGGUGCGCCGUUGGGUGCAUUUGCUAAAGUUUUUCUCUCUUUCGGGAGAGAGAUGCGCCUUAAGAUGGGCUCGCGUCCUAUUAGCUUGUUGGUGAGGUAAUGGCUCACCAAGGCUACGACAGGUAGGCGGUCUGAGAGGACGAUCACCCACACUGGGACUGAGACACUGCCCAG